RNAcentral lists this ribosomal RNA (492 nucleotides) under uncultured bacterium. RNAcentral describes it as "partial 16S ribosomal RNA". It matches the Rfam family "Bacterial small subunit ribosomal RNA", at positions 29 to 507 of the family's 1533-position model. The record is from RNAcentral.
AGUGAACGCUGGCGGUAGGCCUAACACAUGCAAGUCGAACGGCAGCACAGUAAGAGCUUGCUCUUACGGGUGGCGAGUGGCGGACGGGUGAGGAAUACAUCGGAAUCUACUUUUUCGUGGGGGAUAGCGUAGGGAAACUUACGCUAAUACCGCAUACGACCUACGGGUGAAAGCAGGGGAUCUUCGGACCUUGCGCGAUUGAAUGAGCCGAUGUCGGAUUAGCUAGUUGGCGGGGUAAAGGCCCACCAAGGCGACGAUCCGUAGCUGGUCUGAGAGGAUGAUCAGCCACACUGGAACUGAGGCACGGUCCAGACUCCUACGGGAGGCAGCAGUGGGGAAUAUUGGACAAUGGGCGCAAGCCUGAUCCAGCCAUACCGCGUGGGUGAAGAAGGCCUUCGGGUUGUAAAGCCCUUUUGUUGGGAAAGAAAAGCAGCAGGUUAAUACCCCGCUGUUCUGACGGUACCCAAAGAAUAAGCACCGGCUAACUUCGUG